Molecule: ribosomal RNA, 253 nt
Filed under: uncultured bacterium
Lineage: Bacteria
Description: partial 16S ribosomal RNA
Rfam family: Bacterial small subunit ribosomal RNA
Source: RNAcentral
UACGAAGGGGGCUAGCGUUGUUCGGAUUUACUGGGCGUAAAGCGCACGUAGGCGGAUCGUUAAGUCGGGGGUGAAAUCCUGGAGUUCAACUCCAGAACUGCCUUCGAUACUGGCGAUCUUGAGUCCGGAAGAGGUGAGUGGAACUCCUAGUGUAGAGGUGGAAUUCGUAGAUAUUAGGAAGAACACCAGUGGCGAAGGCGGCUCACUGGUCCGGUACUGACGCUGAGGUGCGAAAGCGUGGGGAGCAAACAGG